This 378-nucleotide ribosomal RNA is filed under the name uncultured organism. Its description in RNAcentral is "partial 16S ribosomal RNA". It matches the Rfam family "Bacterial small subunit ribosomal RNA", at positions 526 to 896 of the family's 1533-position model. The record is from RNAcentral.
GUAGGGGAGCAAACGUUGUCCGGAUUUAUUGGGCGUAAAGGGCUCGUAGGCGGUUCAACAAGUCGGUCGUGAAAACCCGGGGGGCUCAACCCCGGGGACGCCGGUCGAAACUGUUGUGACUAGAGUUCGGUAGAGGUGAGUGGAAUUCUCGGUGUAGCGGUGGAAUGCGCAGAUAUCGAGAGGAACACCAUUAGCGAAGGCGGCUCACUGGGCCGAUACUGACGCUGAGGAGCGAAAGCGUGGGGAGCAAACAGGAUUAGAUACCCUGGUAGUCCACGCCGUAAACGAUGAACACUAGGUGUGGCGGACUGAUUCAUGUCGGCUGCGCCGUAGCUAACGCAUUAAGUGUUCCGCCUGGGGAGUACGGCCGCAAGGCUA